Molecule: ribosomal RNA, 484 nt
Filed under: uncultured bacterium
Lineage: Bacteria
Description: partial 16S ribosomal RNA
Rfam family: Bacterial small subunit ribosomal RNA
Source: RNAcentral
AUUGAACGCUGGCGGCAGGCCUAACACAUGCAAUUCGAGCGGAUGAAGGGAGCUUGCUCCUGGAUUCAGCGGCGGACGGGUGUGUAAUGCCUAGGAAUCUGCCUCGUAGUGGUGUAUAACGUCCGGAUACGGGCGCUACUACUGCAUACGUCCAGAGGGAGCAACUCGGGGUUCUUCGGACCUCACCCUAUCUGAUGAGCCUACGUCCGAUUAGCUAGCUGGUGGGUUUAAUACCUACCAAGGCGACGAUCCGUAACUGGACUGCGAGAAUGAUCAGACACACGGGAAAUGAGACACGGACCAGAAGCCUACGGGAGGCAGCAGUGGGGAAUAUUGGACAAUGGGCGAGAGUGUGAACCAGUCAGGCCACGUGUGUGAAGAAGGUGUUCGGAUUGUGAAGCACUAGGAGUAGGGAGAAAAGGCAGUGAGUUAAAACGAUGAGAUAGUGACGGUACUAAAAGAAGAAGCACCGGCUAACUACGUG